This 324-nucleotide ribosomal RNA is filed under the name uncultured eukaryote. Its description in RNAcentral is "partial 18S ribosomal RNA". It matches the Rfam family "Eukaryotic small subunit ribosomal RNA", at positions 1470 to 1796 of the family's 1831-position model. The record is from RNAcentral.
CCCUUAGAUGUUCUGGGCCGCACGCGCGCUACACUGAUGCAUUCAACGAGUUUCUUCCUGGUCCGAGAGGAAUGGGUAACCUUUUGAAAGUGCAUCGUGAUAGGGAUAGACUAUUGCAAUUAUUGGUCUUCAACGAGGAAUUCCUAGUAGACGUAGUUCAUCAGACUGCAUCGAUUACGUCCCUACCCUUUGUACACACCGCCCGUCGCUCCUACCGAUUGAAUGCUCAGGUGAGCCAUUCGGACCUUCAUCAUGCCGGUUUCCGGUUUUGAUGAGGGAAAGUCUUGCGAACCUUAUCAUUUAGAGGAAGGAGAAGUCGUAACA